RNAcentral lists this ribosomal RNA (396 nucleotides) under uncultured bacterium. RNAcentral describes it as "partial 16S ribosomal RNA". It matches the Rfam family "Bacterial small subunit ribosomal RNA", at positions 523 to 918 of the family's 1533-position model. The record is from RNAcentral.
CUACGUAGGUGGCGAGCGUUGUCCGGAUUUACUGGGUGUAAAGGGCGCGUAGGCGGGGAUGCCAGUCAGAUGUGAAAUCCAUGGGCUUAACCCAUGAACUGCAUUUGAAACUGUGUCUCUUGAGUGUCGGAGAGGUAGAUGGAAUUCCUAGUGUAGCGGUGAAAUGCGUAGAUAUUAGGAGGAACACCAGUGGCGAAGGCGAUCUCCUGGAAGAAAACUGUAGCUUAGGCGCGAAAGCGGGGGGAGCAAACAGGAUUAGAUACCCUGGUGAUCCACGCCGUAAACGAUAAAUACUAGGGGUGUGGGGACUGAACCCCUCCAUGCCGCAGUUAACACAAUAAGUAUUCCACCUGGGGAGUACGGCCUCAAGGUGGAAACUCAAAUGAAUUGACGGGG